UACAGAGGGUGCAAGCGUUAAUCGGAAUUACUGGGCGUAAAGGGUGCGUAGGUGGUUUUAUAAGUUAGGUGUGAAAGCCCUGGGCUUAACCUGGGAAUUGCGCUUAAGACUGUAAAACUAGAGUACUGUAGAGGGAGGUGGAAUUUCCGGUGUAGCGGUGAAAUGCGUAGAUAUCGGAAGGAACACCAGUGGCGAAGGCGACUUCCUGGACAGAUACUGACACUGAGGCACGAAAGCGUGGGGAGCAAACAGG
RNAcentral lists this ribosomal RNA (253 nucleotides) under uncultured bacterium. RNAcentral describes it as "partial 16S ribosomal RNA". It matches the Rfam family "Bacterial small subunit ribosomal RNA", at positions 524 to 776 of the family's 1533-position model. The record is from RNAcentral.